GAUGAACGCUAGCGGGAGGCCUAACACAUGCAAGCCGAGCGGGAUUUGUUGGUUAGCUUGCUAAUUAACAAUGAGAGCGGCGUACGGGUGCGUAGCACGUGUGCAACCUGCCUUUAUCUGGGGGAUAGCCUUUCGAAAGGAAGAUUAAUACCCCAUAACAUAUUGAUUGGCAUCAGUUAAUAUUGAAAGCUCUGGCGGAUCGAGAUGGGCACGCGUAAGAUUAGCUAGUUGGUGAGGUAACGGCUAACCAAGGCUGCGAUCUUUAGGGGGCCUGAGAGUGUGAUCCCCCACACUGGAACUAAGGCACGGACCAGACUCCGACGGAGGGCAGCAGUAUGUAAUAUUAUGCGAUAAGGGAUGACCUGGUCCAGCCGUCCCGCGUAAAAAACUAUUGGCCUAUGAAAGGUAAGCUUCUUUUAUACAAGGAUAAUCCUACUCUCGAGAGAGUUGCUGAAGGUACUUUAUGAAUAAGCACCGGCUAACUCCGUG
RNAcentral lists this ribosomal RNA (489 nucleotides) under uncultured bacterium. Its description in RNAcentral is "partial 16S ribosomal RNA". It matches the Rfam family "Bacterial small subunit ribosomal RNA", at positions 28 to 507 of the family's 1533-position model. The record is from RNAcentral.